GUGUGCCACUCUCAGCUGUGGCGAUGGAGCUGGUGCUGGCCAGGUCGAGCCCCAGGUCGAAGGGUGAGGUGGAGAAGGGUGAGAGUGGGUGGUAGACACCAUCAAAGGGAGGACCAUCACCAGGAUUGGAGGAUGAGCGGCUGGCCCGGUCGGAGGAGUCAAAAGACUUGAAGUUGUAGGAGUGGAAGGACUUGGUGCGGCCACUUGGGGAGAUGGAGUGGUCAGAAAAGCCCUCGGAGAGCUCCUGGUCUGAGGCCUCAUAGCCUAGUGGCAGGAAAACAUCCAGCUCCUGCAGCUCAGCUGGCGGCGGGCUUGUCCCGUCCUUGCCAGAGGGGUCCGAGAGGCGGAGGAGCUCCAGGCAGCCCCCAUUGCUCCCGUUGCUCAGGCUGUGCUGGCGGGACUCGUAGGACUCCUUGACGUAGAGCUUGGUGAGUGUGUCCUGCCAGCCAGCCAAUCUCGCCAGCUGCUUCACCAUGUCCUGCUGCGCGUAGAUCAGGUGGAAGAGCUGCAAGAGGAAAUGUCGAGCCGGACGGUCAGCUCAGCCCGGUGGGACAGGUAAACCACGGCCACUAGGUCCUUGUAGUUGGGAGGUACCUGCACCGAGGACCUGCUCUGAGAGGCAACGGAAGAGCAGCAUGGAGCCAGGGAUGUCACUGAGGCAGGCGAUGAGCCCCUGGUACCCAAUGUCCUUCAGCUUCAGGCGGUUUUUGCUGCGCUCAGGGACCUUCUCAUACUUCAGCAUCUUGUAGAGCACCUGACCCUCUCCCGCACUUCAUCUGAGAACUUCUUCUGCACCAGCAGUGAGAAGAGGACCUCCACAUGGCCUGGCUCAAAGAGGAAGGCAAAGAGCUGGUCCUGGGCAGGUGAGCCCUUCAACAGGCUGUGGAUCAC
Molecule: long non-coding RNA, 891 nt
Filed under: Strigops habroptila (Kakapo)
Lineage: Eukaryota; Metazoa; Chordata; Aves; Psittaciformes; Psittacidae
Description: lncRNA (ENSSHBG00005003346.1)
Source: RNAcentral